CUUUCUGGCGAAGCUGGGACAUUCUGCCGUUGUUCCAUUGUAGGAAUACAGAAGCAGCUGCG
RNAcentral lists this transfer RNA (62 nucleotides) under Eutreptiella gymnastica. RNAcentral describes it as "partial Selenocysteine transfer RNA". Lineage: Eukaryota; Euglenozoa; Euglenophyceae; Eutreptiales; Eutreptiaceae. The record is from RNAcentral.